This is a non-coding RNA of Misgurnus anguillicaudatus (oriental weatherfish), 2118 nucleotides long. NCBI's taxonomy places the organism in Eukaryota, Metazoa, Chordata, Actinopteri, Cypriniformes, Cobitidae. The record is from RefSeq and is a predicted model, not a curated record.
UGCACCUUUCUAGCUGGUUUGCCAACAACCAAUAAAUCCAUAGAAGAAAACGACGAGAGCCCGAUUGAUUGAAGUUGUCAAGGCAAAGUAAAUUUGGGAACCAAAAACGAAUAAAGAUGUCAAGACAACUGCUUUUUGGAUAUUCUUAAAUGAAGGUCUGUUUUUCUGAACUACAAAGAGAUCAAGGUUUACACCUUCAGUGAAGACAUUCACAAAUAAAUUCAGGAAAAAUUCUUCCAAAUUCAUCCAAAUGUAGAAUUAACACCAAUAUCUACAAUCAUUAAUCAUUAAAGAGGAGAGCAAUACUGAGAAACAAAGAGAUUUACUCUUGAUUCUUUAUUAAUAACCGAGUUUUUUCAGAUUUCUUUUCAAAAGAAAGCAAAGAGCAGAAGCCAGCAAAUCAUUGUGGAAAAGGAAUUGAAAGACGACGACACAUUGUGGUGCACAUGGAAACUCACACUGUAGAGCGCCCAUAUCCAUGUCCUCAGUGUGAAAAGAGUUUUACUCAAAAAAUUAACCUUAAAAUCCACAUGGGAAUUCACACUGGAGAGUGUCCAUACCCAUGUCCCCAGUGUGAAAAGAGUUUCAUGUCAAAAGCAUGUCUUAUGAGGCACAUGAGAAUUCACACAGGAGAGUGCCCAUACACGUGUCCUCAGUGUAAAAAGAGUUUCAACCAGAACGCAAAUCUUAUGAGGCACAUGAGAAUUCACACUGGGGAGCGCCCACACGUGUGUCCUCAGUGUGAAAAGAGUUUCAUGACGAAAUCAGGUCUUCUGAGGCAUUUGAGUGUUCACACUGGAGAGCGCCCAUCCAAAUGUUUUAGUGUGGAAAGAGCUUAAUAAGUAUGUUAAUUUGAAUUCUUUUCCUGAACUCUGAAAUGGCUUCAGUAUGGACUGCAUGCCCCCUAUGGGCGGAGUCUAAAACCAAAUAGAAAAAGAAACAUUGUCGCUUUCCUCCUCCUUUCCGACGUGGCAUUCUGAAAAGUUGGAAGGAUUUUCAACUGCAUGUGGCCCUGCCGCGCCUGGAAAAAAGAGCAUGUCCCCCUUUUUUAUUUAGCUCAUUUGCAUUUUUAAGGACACACCCAAAACGGCACAUUUUUGCUCACUCCUACAAAGUGGCAAUUUUAACAUGUUAUAAUAAAUAAUCUAUAUGAUAUUUUGAGCUAGAACUUUACAUACGUACUGGGGACACCAAAGAUUUAUUUUACAUCUGAAAAAAGUCUUGUGAAAUGUCCCCUUUAAACAGCCCGUAUAAAUGCACAAAUUACUUGCCAGCAUAUUCCGGUCCGUACGCUGCCAACUUUGUCAAAAGGUCACAUCAGCAACAUGCUGUAAACUUCACACUUUUGGGGGAUGCAUGAACCGACUUGAAACAGGCCUGGCUCUGGCCCUUUGAUGUUGACAUCAAGAGACCAGACCCCUGCUGUCCAAACUUAAUAGCUAUUUUGCUAUCCAAGUAUCUGAUAUGAUCCAGUUAUGGCACUGCCAUACAACAGUGGCACGUUUUUGCAGACCAGGCUUAAUCUUAGUCCCAGACAGUAAUGCAUGGUUGAUCUGUCUUAUGUAUUUUAAAAUAUAUCAGUGCCACUUGCCUUAAGAAGCACACCAGUAAUGUUUUUGUCUAAAGGGGGUCGCAUGCCAAACGAGAAGCCCAGCGUUGCGUCUAGGACGACUCUGAGGUAUCAUACACCAGAAGUGCACAUUAAAUAGUGCGAGCUUAGUCAGAUAGCGUCUACUUCAAAAUGCAAAAUAUACAUUGGCUGCUAGUGUUAUCGCUAACGAUUUGGGAAAAAUAUGAUGUUAUUUAAAGGAAUAGUCUAUCCAUUUUUUAUAUUAAACUAUGUUAUUACCUUAACUUAGAAGAGUUGAUAUAUACCUCUAUCAUCUUAGUGCAUGCAUGUAAGCGCUGGGGCGCGCUGCGACACUUCGAUAGCAUUUAGCUUAGCCCCAUUCAUUCAAUGGUACCAAACAGAGAUAAAGUUAGAAGUGACCAAACACAUCAAUGUUUUUCCUAUUUAAGACGAGUAGUUAUACGAGCAAGUAUUGUGGCACAAAAUAAAACGUAGCGUUUUUCUAAGCGGAUUUUAAAGGGUAACUAUAUUGUAUGGCGGAAUAGCAC